RNAcentral lists this ribosomal RNA (498 nucleotides) under uncultured bacterium. RNAcentral describes it as "partial 16S ribosomal RNA". It matches the Rfam family "Bacterial small subunit ribosomal RNA", at positions 28 to 507 of the family's 1533-position model. The record is from RNAcentral.
GACGAACGCUGGCGGCGUGCCUAAUACAUGCAAGUCGAACGAGAGCAACCGGUGCUUGCACUGGUCAAUCUAGUGGCGAACGGGUGAGUAACACGUGGGUAACCUGCCCAUCAGAGGGGGAUAACAUCCGGAAACGGAUGCUAAAACCGCAUAGGUCUUCGAGCCGCAUGGUUUGAAGAGGAAAAGAGGCGCAAGCUUCUGCUGAUGGAUGGACCCGCGGUGCAUUAGCUAGUUGGUGAGGUAACGGCUCACCAAGGCCGUGAUGCAUAGCCGACCUGAGAGGGUGAUCGGCCACAUUGGGACUGAGACACGGCCCAAACUCCUACGGGAGGCAGCAGUAGGGAAUCUUCCGCAAUGGACGCAAGUCUGACGGAGCAACGCCGCGUGAGUGAAGAAGGUUUUCGGAUCGUAAAACUCUGUUGUUAGAGAAGAACAAGUGCUAGAGUAACUGUUAGCGCCUUGACGGUAUCUAACCAGAAAGCCACGGCUAACUACGUG